This 498-nucleotide ribosomal RNA is filed under the name uncultured bacterium. Its description in RNAcentral is "partial 16S ribosomal RNA". It matches the Rfam family "Bacterial small subunit ribosomal RNA", at positions 28 to 507 of the family's 1533-position model. The record is from RNAcentral.
GACGAACGCUGGCGGCGUGCCUAAUACAUGCAAGUCGAGCGGACGGAUGGGAGCUUGCUCCCAGACCGUCAGCGGCGGACGGGUGAGUAACCCGUGGGCAACCUGCCUGUAAGACUGGGAUAACUCCGGGAAACCGGGGCUAAUACCGGAUAACUCUUUCCCUCACAUGAGGGAAAGCUGAAAGAUGGCAUCUCGCUAUCACUUACAGAUGGGCCCGCGGCGCAUUAGCUAGUUGGUGGGGUAACGGCUCACAAAGGCGACGAUGCGUAGCCGACCUGAGGGGGGGAUCGGCCACACGGGAACUGAGACACGGCCCAGACGCCUACGGGAGGCAGCAGUAGGGAAUCUUCCGCAAUGGACGAAAGUCUGACGGAGCAACGCCGCGUGAGUGAUGAAGGUGUUCGGAUCGUAAAGCUCUGUUGUCAGGGAAGAACAAGUACCGGAGUAACUGCCGCUACCUUGACGGUACCUGACCAGAAAGCCACGGCUAACUACGUG